AAGUCGUAACAAGGUUUCCGUAGGUGAACCUGCGGAAGGAUCAUUAAUGAAUCUUGAAAGGGGUUGUAGCUGGCCUUCUUGUAUGAGAGGGCAUUUUGUGCACGCCCUGAUCACCAUCCAUUUCACACCUGUGCACCCUCUGUAGGAUUGGCUGUUGUAAUGUAAAGUCUCUGUUGACUUUGCCUUAUGUAUGGCCCUUCCUAUGUUUUAUAACAAACUAUUGUGUCUAAAGAAUGUUAAUUGCGUCUAACGCAUUUAUAUACAACUUUCAGCAACGGAUCUCUUGGCUCUC
This 292-nucleotide unclassified non-coding RNA is filed under the name air metagenome. Its description in RNAcentral is "partial contains small subunit ribosomal RNA, internal transcribed spacer 1, and 5.8S ribosomal RNA". The stretch from base 1 to 46 matches the Rfam family "Eukaryotic small subunit ribosomal RNA", at positions 1786 to 1831 of the family's 1831-position model. The record is from RNAcentral.